Non-coding RNA from Salmo salar (Atlantic salmon), 54 nucleotides. Lineage: Eukaryota; Metazoa; Chordata; Actinopteri; Salmoniformes; Salmonidae. The record is from Rfam.
GUCAGGAUGGAAUGUAAGUCGCUCUGGAUAAGAGUGUCUGCUAAAUGACUUAAA